UGGAAAGGGCGGGGCCUGGCGGGGGCCCGGGGGAACCGCGGAAAGAGACAAGAGGCAGACAGCAGAAGUCAUCACGGUGAAACAGACUUUCAAUGGAAAAUCAUCCUGCAGCUUCAGCUAAAGCGGAGUUUUGUGACAGGAUAAAACCCCAAGGAACCCAGAGGCAACAGAGUCAGCAGAAAAAGUUAAGUGGGAUGCAGAUGCCGGAAAAUAACAUCGAGGACUUAGCCUUACGUCCUGCCGUGAGCAUAUGGUCUCUUGGAGCCAAAUGCCAAGAGGUUUAGAGCAGGAGGGGGAAAUGCUAUGGUUACAGAUAUUUGAAUAAUAAAUCAUACU
Mauremys reevesii (Reeves's turtle) is the source of this 336-nucleotide long non-coding RNA. RefSeq lists it as uncharacterized. Lineage: Eukaryota; Metazoa; Chordata; Testudines; Geoemydidae. The record is from RefSeq and is a predicted model, not a curated record. The transcript has 3 exons.